CAUUCAGCUCUCACUUGACUUACUAGUUCCCUCUUUUAAAAAAGUCAAUUUUACUCACACUGUUUAUAACUGCCCAUGAGAUUAUAUUAUCCUUGGCCACAGUUGACUGCUUUCAGCCAAUCAGUUCUCAUUAAAAAAAUGUAAGCCACAGUAUAUAACACCUAAGUAUUCUCUAGUUUUGCUUCUUCGAGAGGUAUUUACUCAGCAUUUACUGACUGCUUUGACAUACUCGGGUAAUAGCACUUUUUUCCUGUCUUUUUCAGCAUGGGUG
This 271-nucleotide long non-coding RNA is filed under the name Bos taurus (domestic cattle). RNAcentral describes it as "long non-coding RNA NONBTAT011435". The record is from RNAcentral. Lineage: Eukaryota; Metazoa; Chordata; Mammalia; Artiodactyla; Bovidae.